UACCUUUGCGCCCGAAAAAAAAUUGUACAUAAUAAUCAUUAAAUUAAUAUUGGAAUG
Molecule: non-coding RNA, 57 nt
Filed under: unclassified sequences
Description: S15-Flavobacteria ribosomal protein leader
Rfam family: S15-Flavobacteria ribosomal protein leader
Source: RNAcentral